UGCUGGAGGUAUCAGAAGUGCGAAUGCUGACAUGAGUAGCGAUAAUGGGGGUGAAAAGCCUCCACGCCGUAAGCCCAAGGUUUCCUGUUCAACGUUCAUCGGAGCAGGGUGAGUCGGCCCCUAAGGCGAGGCAGAGAUGCGUAGCUGAUGGGAAGCAGGUUAAUAUUCCUGCACCGUCGUAUGAUGCGAUGGGGGGACGGAUCGCGGAAGGUUGUCCAACUGUUGGAAUAGUUGGUUUUUGGCUCAUAGAAGGCGCUUAGGCAAAUCCGGGCGCGCAAUUCAAGGGGUUGAGACGAGUGCACUUGUGCAUGAAGCAAUCGGAAGUGGUUCCAAGAAAAGCCUCUAAGCUUCAGUCAUACGAGACCGUACCGCAAACCGACACAGGUGGGCGAGAUGAGUAUUCUAAGGCGCUUGAGAGAACUCGGGAGAAGGAACUCGGCAAAUUGGUACCGUAACUUCGGGAAAAGGUACGCCCCGGUAGCUUGAUUGGUUUACUCCAUGAGGGUGAAAGGGUUGCAAUAAACUGGUGGCU
This 532-nucleotide ribosomal RNA is filed under the name Klebsiella pneumoniae. Its description in RNAcentral is "partial 23S ribosomal RNA". It matches the Rfam family "Bacterial large subunit ribosomal RNA", at positions 1271 to 1795 of the family's 2925-position model. Lineage: Bacteria; Pseudomonadati; Pseudomonadota; Gammaproteobacteria; Enterobacterales; Enterobacteriaceae. The record is from RNAcentral.